Molecule: ribosomal RNA, 253 nt
Filed under: uncultured bacterium
Lineage: Bacteria
Description: partial 16S ribosomal RNA
Rfam family: Bacterial small subunit ribosomal RNA
Source: RNAcentral
UACGUAGGGUGCGAGCGUUAAUCGGAAUUACUGGGCGUAAAGCGUGCGCAGGCGGUUCGUCAAGUCUGAUGUGAAAGCCCCGGGCUCAACCUGGGAACUGCAUUGGAUACUAGCGAGCUUGAGUGUGGCAGAGGGGGGUGGAAUUCCACGUGUAGCAGUGAAAUGCGUAGAGAUGUGGAGGAACACCGAUGGCGAAGGCAGCCCCCUGGGCUAACACUGACGCUCAUGCACGAAAGCGUGGGGAGCAAACAGG